UUGAGGCGGCGUACCAUCCCAUAUGUGAAAGUAUAAUGGAGCAACCAUUCAGAAAGAGAGGCAACUUGGGAGCUUGAGGAUGAAAUGCGUGCGAGGCAUCCGCAAUUCUUCGAAGUCUCAGGUAUGUAAAUUUCGAGGACGAAAUUUUAUUUAAGGGGGGGAGAAUGUGAGGCCCAAGCCGAAGGAGAAGCCGGAAUCCUCGGCUGCACCUUCUC
This 215-nucleotide long non-coding RNA is filed under the name Phoenix dactylifera (date palm). RNAcentral describes it as "long non-coding RNA (PDAC_LNC017722)". Lineage: Eukaryota; Viridiplantae; Streptophyta; Magnoliopsida; Arecales; Arecaceae. The record is from RNAcentral.